AGUGAACGCUGGCGGUAGGCCUAACACAUGCAAGUCGAACGGCAGCACAGUAAGAGCUUGCUCUUACGGGUGGCGAGUGGCGGACGGGUGAGGAAUACAUCGGAAUCUACUUUUUCGUGGGGGAUAACGUAGGGAAACUUACGCUAAUACCGCAUACGACCUACGGGUGAAAGCAGGGGAUCUUCGGACCUUGCGCGAUUGAAUGAGCCGAUGUCGGAUUAGCUAGUUGGCGGGGUAAAGGCCCACCAAGGCGACGAUCCGUAGCUGGUCUGAGAGGAUGAUCAGCCACACUGGAACUGAGACACGGUCCAGACUCCUACGGGAGGCAGCAGUGGGGAAUAUUGGACAAUGGGCGCAAGCCUGAUCCAGCCAUACCGCGUGGGUGAAGAAGGCCUUAGGGUUGUAAAGCCCUUUUGUUGGGAAAGAAAAGCAGCAGGUUAAUACCCCGAUGUUCUGACGGUACCCAAAGAAUAAGCACCGGCUAACUUCGUG
Molecule: ribosomal RNA, 492 nt
Filed under: uncultured bacterium
Lineage: Bacteria
Description: partial 16S ribosomal RNA
Rfam family: Bacterial small subunit ribosomal RNA
Source: RNAcentral